Molecule: ribosomal RNA, 2997 nt
Filed under: marine metagenome
Description: bacterial LSU rRNA
Rfam family: Bacterial large subunit ribosomal RNA
Source: RNAcentral
UUAAGAGCAUAAGGUGGAUGCCUUGGCACAAAAUGGCGAUGAAGGACGUGGUGUGGCUGCGAUAAGCCUCGGGAAGCUGCUUAACAAGCUUUGAUCCGGGGAUUUCCGAAUGGGGGAACCCAAUAGAGUAAACCUCUAUUACUUCAGACUAGAGCUGAAGAGUAUACCAGGGGAAGUGAAACAUCUCAGUACCCUGAGGAAAAGAGAAAAAUAUUUUAUUCCCUGAGUAGCGGCGAGCGAAACGGGAAGAGCCCAAACCAAUAAUUUAUUAUUGGGGUUGUAAGGUAAGAACAUUCAGUGAAAUGAACUAGGUCGGUUACUUCGGUAACCAAUAGUGACCUAAUUCAUCUUACUGAAAGAAGUUACAAAUUGAUUUGUUAGUUGAAACAGUUGGAAAUCUGUACCAAAGACGGUGAUAGUCCGGUAAACGAAAACUUAUCAACUUCUGUUUUUAUUCUUGAGUACCUCGAGGACAGGUAACCUUGAGGGAAUCUACCAGUACUAGCUGGUAAGGCUAAAUACAUUUUGUGACCGAUAGUGAAUAGUACCGUGAGGGAAAGGUGAAAAGUAGGCCGGUAAGGCCAGUGAAAUAGAACCUGAAACCUUAUGCUUACAAGGAGCUAGAGCCCUAAGUCCUUCGGGACGGGGUGAUAGUGUGCCUAUUGAAGAAUGAGCCAACGAGUUUAUCUGUAUUGCUUGUCUAAGUCGCAAUAGCGAUGGAGGCGUAGGGAAACCGAGUCUUAAUAGGGCGCUUUCCACCUUCGGGUGGUAUGCAGUAUGGGUAAGACCCGAAGCCAAGCGAGCUUACCUUGGCCAGGUUGAACCCCUUUUAAUCGAGGGAGGAGGACCGAACCGUUGCGUCGUGCAAAACGCUCGGAGGAGCUGAGGUAAGGAGUGAAAAGCUAAUCGAGCUUGGUAAUAGCUGGUUCUCUCCGAAAUAGCUUUAGGGCUAGCGGUCAGCAAAAAUUUAUAGGGGGUAGAGCACUGGAUGGUUUGUGUCGGGCGCAAGCUCAGCAAACCAAUCAAACUCCGAAUACCUAUAUCAUUCGGCUGGCUAGUUAGACUGUGGGGGCUAAGCUCCAUAGUCGCGAGGGAAAGAGCCCAGAUCGCUGUCUAAGGUCCCAAAGUCUUUGCUAAGUGUUAAAGGUAGUUAUUAACCUCUGACAGGUAGGAGGUUGGCUUAGAGGUAGCCAUCCUUUAAAGAGUGUGUAACAACCCACUACUCGAUGGUUAGUAGCGCCGAAAAUUUACCGGGGCUAAGCAAGGCACCGAAGACGCGGGUUAGUAUAAUUUUAAUAAUUGUAUUAGCGGUAGGAGAGCAUUCCUAAUGCGUUGAAGCUGGAUCUGUGAAGACCAGUGGAGCGUUGGGAAGAGAAAAUGUUGGCAUGAGUAAUCACAAUGUCGAUGAGAAAUCGGCACCCCGAAAAUCUAAGGUUUCCGUGGCAAUGGCAAUCAUCCACGGGUUAGGCGGUCCUAAGGCGAUGGCGAAAGCCGCAGUCGAUGGACAGUCGGUUAAUAUUCCGACCCCUUUAUAUAGUCCGAUGGAGGGACGGGGAGUAGUAAGCUGGGCGUAUUAGUGGUUUUACGUCCUUUACUAAGGGUGUUAGUUAGGCAAAUCCGGCUAACAUUAAGCCCAAGGAAAGAGGCGAGUUAAGGUUUUCCUUAGCAAGUCAGCUGAGCACUUCUCCAAGAAAAACUUCUAAGGUUAACUAUAUAAAGACCGUACCAAAACCAACACAGGUAGAUGAGGCGAGAAGCCUAAGGGGAACGAGUGAGUCUUCGUUAAGGAACUCGGCAAAAAAGCGGCCGUAACUUCGGGAUAAGGCCUGCCCUCUUCGGAGGGCCGCAGCGAAAGUAUCUCUGGCGACUGUUUAUCAAAAACACAGCUCCCUGCGAACUCUAAUGAGGAUGUAUAGGGGGUGACACCUGACCGAUGCGAGAAGGUUAAAUCUGGCGGUGUAUUAACUUCGGUUAACACGCUAACUGGAUGAAGCCCUCGUCAAUGUCGGCGGUAACUAUAACCGUCCUAAGGUAGCGCAUUUCCUUUCCGGGUAAGUUCCGGAGCGCACGAAUGGUGUAACGACUGGAGAACUGUCUCAACGAAGAGCUCGAUGAAAAUGCGAUUCCCGUAAAGACGCGGGAUACCUGCAGCGGGACGAAAAGACCCCGGGAGCUUUACUGUAGCUUGAUAUUGAGUUUAAGAAUUGUUUGCGUAGAAUAGUGAGGAGACUUUGAAGCAUUAUUUUCGGAUAGUGUGGAGUCGUCAGUGAAAUACUCAUCUCUCAAUUUUUAAAUUCUAAUCUGAUCGGAAAAAACGGUCGGAGACAGUGUCUGGUGGGCAGUUUGCAUGGGGCGUGUUCCUCCUAAAAGGUAACGGAGGAGUCUAUUAAGGUUGGCUUAGUCCGGAUGGAAAUCGGACUGGACGUGUAAAGGCAUAAGCCAGCUUGACGGCAAGACUUACAAGUCGCGCCGGUACGAAAGUAGAGCUUAGUGACCCGAUAGUUCUUUCUAGAAAGGCUAGAGACAUCGGCUAAAAGCUACCCCGGGGAUAACAGGCUGGUAUUGUCCGAGAGUUCAUAUCGACGACAAUGUUCGGCACCUCGAUGUCGGCUCACCCUAUCCUGGUGCUGAAGAAGGUGCCAAGGGUUUGGCUGUUCGCCAAUUAAAAGGGUACGCGAGCUGGGUUCAGACCGUCGUGAGACAGGUUGGUCUCUAUCUGCUGUAGGCGUUGAUCACUUGAGGGAAGCUGACUCUAGUACGAGAGGACCGAGUUGGACGAGCCUCUGGUCUACCAGCUUUGGCACCAGCUGAAUCGCUGGGUAGCUAUGCUCGGCAGGGAUAAGAGCUGAAAGCAUCUAAGCACGAAGCCCAUCCCAAGAUAAGGUGAUCGUCACUUCGGUGACAACGAUUCGUGGAAGACUACCACGUUGAUAGGCUCUAGGUGUAAGACUGGUAACGGUUUUAGCCGAGGAGUACUAAUUAUCGUUCACGAUUCCU